AGUGAACGCUGGCGGUAGGCCUAACACAUGCAAGUCGAACGGCAGCACAGUAAGAGCUUGCUCUUACGGUUGGCGAGUGGCGGACGGGUGAGGAAUACAUCGGAAUCUACUUUUUCGUGGGGGAUAACGUAGGGAAACUUACGCUAAUACCGCAUACGACCUACGGGUGAAAGCAGGGGAUCUUCGGACCUUGCGCGAUUGAAUGAGCCGAUGUCGGAUUAGCUAGUUGGCGGGGUAAAGGCCCACCAAGGCGACGAUCCGUAGCUGGUCUGAGAGGAUGAUCAGCCACACUGGAACUGAGACACGGUCCAGACUCCUACGGGAGGCAGCAGUGGGGAAUAUUGGAUAAUGGGCGCAAGCCUGAUCCAGCCAUACCGCGUGGGUGAAGAAGGCCUUCGGGUUGUAAAGCCCUUUUGUUGGGAAAGAAAAGCAGCAGGUUAAUACCCCGCUGUUCUGACGGUACCCAAAGAAUAAGCACCGGCUAACUUCGUG
This 492-nucleotide ribosomal RNA is filed under the name uncultured bacterium. RNAcentral describes it as "partial 16S ribosomal RNA". It matches the Rfam family "Bacterial small subunit ribosomal RNA", at positions 29 to 507 of the family's 1533-position model. The record is from RNAcentral.